This 72-nucleotide transfer RNA is filed under the name Marmota monax (woodchuck). RNAcentral's name for it is "tRNA.Gly". Lineage: Eukaryota; Metazoa; Chordata; Mammalia; Rodentia; Sciuridae. The record is from RNAcentral.
UGGGGUGUAGAUCAAUGGUAGAGUGUGUGCUUACCAUGUGCAUGGUCAUAGGUUUUAUUCCUAGUACCAAAA